GAUGAACGCUAGCUACAGGCUUAACACAUGCAAGUCGAGGGGCAUCACGAUUGAAGUUUACCUUAAUUGGUGGCGACCGGCGCACGGGUGAGUAACACGUAUCCAACCUUCCGUUCACUCGGGGAUAGCCUUUCGAAAGAAAGAUUAAUACCCGAUGUGAUAUACGAAGCGCAUGAUUUGUCUAUGAAUGGAUUCCGGUGGUCGUUGGGGAUGCGUUUCAUUAGAUUGUUGGUGAGGUAAUGGCUCACCAAGUCUUCGAUGAAUAGGGGUGCUGAGAGGAAGGUCCCCCACACUGGUACAGAGACACGGACCAGACUCCGACGGGAGGCAGCAGUGAGGAAUAUUGGUCAAUGGACGGAAGGCUGAACCAGCCACGUAGCGUGAAGGAUGACCGCCCUAUGGGUCGUAAACUUCUUUUAUUUGGGACUAAAUUGAAGGACGUGUUCCUUUUUUGCAUGUACCAUUUGAAUCAGCAUCGGCUAACUCCGUGCCAGCCGCCGCCGUAA
RNAcentral lists this ribosomal RNA (506 nucleotides) under uncultured bacterium. RNAcentral's name for it is "partial 16S ribosomal RNA". It matches the Rfam family "Bacterial small subunit ribosomal RNA", at positions 28 to 523 of the family's 1533-position model. The record is from RNAcentral.